RNAcentral lists this ribosomal RNA (523 nucleotides) under Neoscytalidium dimidiatum. RNAcentral describes it as "partial 28S ribosomal RNA". It matches the Rfam family "Eukaryotic large subunit ribosomal RNA", at positions 78 to 603 of the family's 3401-position model. The record is from RNAcentral. Lineage: Eukaryota; Fungi; Ascomycota; Dothideomycetes; Botryosphaeriales; Botryosphaeriaceae.
CCUCAGUAACGGCGAGUGAAGCGGCAACAGCUCAAAUUUGAAAGCUGGCCCCCCCCGGGGGUCCGCGUUGUAAUUUGUAGAGGAUGAUUCGGCGAGGGCUCCCGCCUAAGUCCCCUGGAACGGGGCGUCAUAGAGGGUGAGAAUCCCGUAUGCGGUGGGCUGCCUUAGCCAUGUGAAUCUCCUUCGACGAGUCGAGUUGUUUGGGAAUGCAGCUCUAAAUGGGAGGUAAAUUUCUUCUAAAGCUAAAUACCGGCCAGAGACCGAUAGCGCACAAGUAGAGUGAUCGAAAGAUGAAAAGCACUUUGGAAAGAGAGUUAAAAAGUACGUGAAAUUGUUGAAAGGGAAGCGCUUGCAGCCAGACUUGCCCGCAGUUGCUCAGCCGGUCUCCUGACCGGCGCACUCUUCUGCGGCCAGGCCAGCAUCAGUUCGGGCGGUCGGAUAAAGGCCCCGGGAACGUAGCUCCUCUCGGGGAGUGUUAUAGCCCGGGGUGGAAUGCGGCCAGCCUGNGACUGAGGAUCUCGCU